Molecule: ribosomal RNA, 252 nt
Filed under: uncultured bacterium
Lineage: Bacteria
Description: partial 16S ribosomal RNA
Rfam family: Bacterial small subunit ribosomal RNA
Source: RNAcentral
UACGGGGGGGUAAGCGUUGUUCGGAAUUACUGGGCGUAAAGGGCUCGUAGGCGGCCAACUAAGUCAUACGUGAAAUCCCUCAGCUUAACUGGGGAACUGCGUGUGAUACUGGAUGGCUUGGAUUUGGGAGAGGGAUGCGGAAUUCCAGGUGUAGCGGUGAAAUGCGUAGAUAUCUGGAGGAACACCGGUGGCGAAGGCGGCAUCCUGGACCAACACUGACACUGAGGAGCGAAAGCCAGGGGAGCAAACGGG